This is a long non-coding RNA of Astatotilapia calliptera (eastern happy), 4737 nucleotides long. The record is from Ensembl. Lineage: Eukaryota; Metazoa; Chordata; Actinopteri; Cichliformes; Cichlidae.
GGAGCAAACGCAGCCUCCAGAAACGACUGUGGAAAAGACUGCAAUGGGACAAAGUAUGACACACAAGAAGCUGCUUGCUGUGGAAACAAACUUUACCCAGGGGCGAGUCUGUCUUGUUGUGGAAAGGAACCUUACAAUCCUGAAAAAGCAACCUGUUGCAAAGUACAAGACGGAAACACUCUCAGAGCCAAUGUUACUCAUGGUCUGAGUGAAAAGGUGUCCAACUGCUGUGGGCUGAAGCCCUACAACCCUGUCAAUGAAGUAUGCUGUCAAUCAACCAUCACUGCAAAACCUGGACUAAUGGCUGAAUGUUGCGGUAAAGAGGCUUUUGCCAAGGACAAGCAAUUGUGUUGCGGUGCAAGUGAUAAUAAGAAGAUUCUGGUGAGAAAUUCCAGUUUCCACCGGUGCUGCGGGCACAACCAGUAUGAUAACAGGACUCAGUGCUGCUGUGAGAAUGAAGGUGUUCUGGAGGUACAACCGAAGGAUUCAUCUUGCUGUGACAAGAGCUCCACUACAGGAGUGCAUAAUGUAGGAAUUCUGCAUUGUGGUCCGAAUGAUAAUAAGAAGAGUCUGGUGAAGAAUUCCACUUUCCACCAGUGCUGCGGUCACAACCAGUAUGACAACAGGACUCAGUGCUGCUGUGUGAAUGAAGGUGUUCUGGAGGUACAACCGAAGCAUUCAUCUUGCUGUGACAAGAGCUCCACUACAGGAGUGCAUAAUGUAGGAAUUCUGCAUUGUGGUCCGAAUGAUAAUAAGAAGAGUCUGGUGAAGAAUUCCACUUUCCACCAGUGCUGCGGUCACCACCAGUAUGACAACAGGACUCAGUGCUGCUGUGAGAAUGAAGGUGUUCUGGAGGUACAACCGAAGCAUUCAUCUUGCUGUGACAAGAGCUCCACUACAGGAGUGCAAAAUGUGGGAAUUCUGCAUUGUGGUCCGAAUGAUAAUAAGAAGAGUCUGGUGAGGAAUUCCACUUUCCACCAGUGCUGCGGUCACCACCAGUAUGACAACAGGACUCAGUGCUGCUGUGAGAAUGAAGGUUUUCUGGAGGUACAACCGAAGCAUUCAUCUUGCUGUGCAAAGGAGUCAGCUAACCCUGAAGGUUUUCAACAACUGACACAUGAGCUCCAACACUUUUGCACUGAACCAAACACACAUCUCUGUGGGUCGACAUGUUACAAUCCAAAGACGCAUCGUUGCUGUGAGAGACACCAAAAGCCUUUUUGGUUCUGCGCCUCAGGUCAAAGCAAGGCCAGGGUGUAUGACCCACGUAUAGAAGUCUGCCGUGAUGGAUCCGUAUUUCAAUGCAAGCCGUGGCUAGAUCAAGUAAUGUACAAAUUGUUUUUUGGGUUUUUCUUUUCCUUUUCUGGGCCUGCCCAGCUGUUUGUGUUUUUUAAUCAGUGUAAAGUGCAAAGCUCAACAGUUUUAAUCUCCUUUUCUGUAGGAAAAUGAAAUCAAGCUUUCAAAUUAUGGCUAAAGCCUAAAGCACUGUUUCCUUAAAAAAACAAAAGGGAAAAACAUAUUAAUGGCAUUUUGGCGAGAUUUUUCAUUAAAGUUUUUGUUAUUAAAAAUGAAGGGCCUCAUGCUGCAAUGUUCAGUUUUACACAAAUAACUGACAGCAAUGGUACCUAGUGAUCCCAGACAAAAAAGGUUGUUUUUGUGCAGCUUCGAUGAGAGAGCUUAGAGCUCCACCCCGCUCCUCUUAUACAGUAACUGAGGGUGUUUUUCAAUCUGAUGUUUAAACUCGUCUAGCGGUGUUGGUUUUGGUUACCACUACUGCAAAAGGUCCAUAAAUCUGUUUUAUGGCAGCCCGGGACAACACUGCUGUGGGACGGAAAUUUACCGGCCUCGUACUGAGAUCUGCUGCAAUGGACACAGACACCCCAAAUCAGAAAACCUUCACUGCUGUGGGGUCAAAGCCUACAACAUUAAAGACCCACAGAUGAAGUGCUGUGCAGGAACACUGUACAAUCUGACAUCAUUAGACAAGCAUGGAGGGGACGCUCAGUGCUGCGGAUCCAUCCUGCAAAAGCCACAGGAUAUUUGCUGCUCAAGCCAGGAAAAAGAGGUGCUUUACUCUGUCAAGACAGGAUUUGGAUGCUGUGGUCACCUCUAUUACAACACCAGCCUGUGCUCAUGCUGUGCGGAGAGGCUGAGAAGAAUCCAUGAACCAGGAAAGGAUCAGAGAAACAUGAUGCAUGGAUCCAGACUUCUAUCUUUGAAUAAUCUAAACACAAGUGAUCUCUGCAAAGAAAUGUACAUUGGGACUGUGGAAAGUGUGUCUGUGAAGAGCGUUGUGUUCAGGAAUGUGCUAUGGGUUCAUGGGAAAUAUUCCAACGUGACAGCUCUGCCUUUGCAUCACAUCUUGGACAUAGAUGAUCACUGCAAAUCACCUAAACUGUUUCUUGGGAAGACCUACAUCUUUAACAACGUUAAUAUUUUCACUGAUUUCAACCAUGACUCUGUUCUUCAGUCGCUCCAUUUCAUUUUUUAUAAAUGUUCAUCUUAGAUCACCACUGUCUGAUCUAUGUAUGGUCAGUUAUUAGCUAUUCCCUUGUUUUUGUCUUAGAACAAGUAAUUAAUUUUUAUUUACUCAGUGCUGGUUUUCUUACUCUAAAAUAGUGCUACACUAAGAGUAAUGCAUAGGGGUUUUUUAUCCUCAGAAGAAUGUACUGUUAAAGUACUCAUUACAGGGAUGUUCUCUUACAUGGUCUAUUAACAAUAUAACACUGAACCUUAGAAAUGCCCAUUAAUUUGUAAAACUCUACCCUAAAAGGAAAGACCAUUGAAGCUUAACAUUUGGGCACUUUGCUGGUGUAAGCAUAAAAUCAAAGAACCAGCCAUAUUUCUAUCACACAUUUUAUUUUUACAUUAGUUAUUGUUGUGCAAGCACACAUGAAAAUGUUUUAAAAUGUGAUCUUUUUAAUCUUUUUGUUACCUAAAUAAUUGAAGAACAUGUAACUCAAUUGAAUUAAUUCAUUAACUGAAAUAUGUUUACUCAAUAAUGCAUUAUAGAAAAAAUUAACUUGAUUAGGGAUUGCAUUACUUUUCAACUGUUUAAAUUUAAAAAAUCCAGAAUUAGUUAUUAGUGAUAUUACUUACAAGUUGCUAUCAGUAAUGCAUUAAAUGUUCAACGCUCAUUUCCAUCCAAACCAUGUUGCUCUGUUUUUGAACGCAUCCCAAAAUGUGUGCUCGGUAAUUACUACUGUUACACAGCUAAUUAGUGCACAGUGUUGUUAACUUAUACAUGCAGUAAUGCAAUAUGACCAUUAUCUUUCAAAGUCUUAAAAAGCUAAAGUAGUAACUAGGAUAUCCAAGCUAGUGUUGGUUUGAAAUUAACAGUAGCUAACACCUUAGCUAUCAGUGUAACAGGAAGCAAGGCAUGCAAGAAUGUUAGCAUACAGCUUAACGGUCACAUAAGCUAAACUGCUAUCAGCUAAUAUUGUUUGUCAUUUGAAAUUUUUGUGACUGUUAUUUCUAUGCCUCUUUUUUGCACUGAACUAAAUUGUAAAUGGCAACUAUUUGCACUUUUUGAACCAUACAAUUGAAUGUAUAAAUGUACUGUAAAGCAUGAUUUAUUUGAAAGAUAAAGCUUGUAACUGUCAAAUGGUUAGUUGACAAUACCAUUAUUAUAAGCACCCCAGUUCUCACUGAUCCCUCUAAAAAUGCAAUAUUUCUGUUUCUUUGUAAGUACCUACUUUUAAUCACCUUGACCCAAGUUAUUUUUAUAUAUGUGACUUUCGGGAAGAUGUUUGGCAUUUAUUGUACUGUGUCUUUACUAAAUUGGUAAGAACAUACCUUUAAGCUACUAACAGGACAAGCUCAUGAUAUACAGUAUAUAUAUUAUAUAUUAUAUUGCAUGUUUAUAUUUAAUAUUUAAUAGCACCUCCUGUAUUAUUAAGUUUUAAAUAAAUAAGAAGAUAAGAAUAAUUGAAUGUGUGUGUGAUUUUUUUUAUUACUUUUAUUACUUAUUAUUUUAUUUAUUACUUUAUUACUUUUUAUUACAUAACAAUUUAUUGGACUAUAUAUACAUAACUAUUACUACAUUUUAUAUACACAUUGUUUAUUUGUAUAUUUGUAGAUAUUCAACAGAAUUAGAUAAUAAAUCAAUACUCUGUGCUUAUUUUUCUUACUUUACUUUACGGAUACCCAUAUGGAUACCACAUACCCAAAACAUACUAGGGAGUGCAUAAUUUUUUCAUUUUUUGGUUUGUUUGUUUUUUUUGCUCUUUUUAAAAUUCUUUAUAAAACACAAUGUCAUCGGAUUUGAUUUAAGGUCCAGAUUUUUCCUUGGGAUUUAAUGUUGCAGUCACAUGCUGCUGUUCAACCAUUUAGAAACAUCUCAUUAUAUUUAAUACAUUACACUGGGUUAUAUGUUGUAGAUGUAGAUCUUGUGGCUCGAGCAUGCUCCCCUCCAGCUACAGGACUUUACAGGACUACCUGGAGACCUUCACUCUGUCUGUCCUUUUCUACUCUAAGUGGUGUGUAGUGAAUGUGACAGUGACCAAAACCACCUGAGUUCUUCCUAACCGGAAACCCUGGAAGACGAAUGAAGAACAGGCUCUGAUCAGAACUCGAAACACAGCCUUCAGGCUGGGGGACAGUUCUCUGGAGAGCACUGCCAGAGCCAACCCGAGGAGGGGCAUCAAACAAGCCAAGGAGACCUCCAGGAGAAGGAUUAAGGGCUUCCAGACAGACAACCACCGCCAAGUGUAGAGAGGCAGUCAAGCCCUCACCAAC